GCGCAGGUGGGUGGGGCAGCCCUUGUGUGUACUGGUGGGUGGGGCAGCCCUUGUGUGCGCAGGUGGGUGGGGCAGCCCUUGUGCAUAAUACUGGUGACCGGGGGCCACCUUAGAUUCACUGUCCAGGUGGUGAUCAACGCAUGCUGGCACAGGGAAAAUAAAUCACCGGAAGUACUUUCUCACGAGAUUUUGCGAGAACGUCACAAUUCGUACGACGCGUUUUAUAAGUAUAUGCGCGUAUUUCGCAGCACUGGGUGGCAUGGGUGGGUGGCAUGGGUGGGUAUCAGUGCCCUUCGUUUACCGCAUCGGCCGGGGGAAAAUACAUACUCGUGUCGAAGCUGCACACGGCUUUGUAAACGCCCUCGCGUGGAACCAUCUACCGUAUUCGCCGGCCCAUGACAGUUAGUGGUGCUCCUGAUGCUAAUCAUACAGACAAAGAGAGAGAGAUAGAGAGAGAGAGAGAGCGAGAGAGAGUGAGAUAGACAAUCCGUGCACACGUCGAUUCGAACUAGAGAUGCUACCAUUCGUAGAGAUUCACAACUAGAGAUGCUACCAUUCGUAGAGAUCCACAACUAGAGAUGGUAUUAUUCGUAGAGAUUCGAAACUAGAGAUGCUAUUAUUCGUAGAGAUUCAAAACUAGAGAUGCUACCAUUCGUAGAGCUUCGAAACUAGAGAUGCUGUUAUUCGUAGAGAUUCGAAACUAGAGAUGCUGUUAUUCGAUCGUAGAGACUCCAUGCUGUCCUCCGCAAGAUAAUUAUUUAUUUUUCUGUUGGUUUGGUGUUACUAAAACAUACAAAUGUUCUGUAAAUAUUGUUUGAAAACGAGUAUUACGAUGAAAAUACCAAUAUUUAUAUGCGUAGCUAACACAGUAACAAGUUUAGACUAUCGGUUUUGGUAAAUCAUGCGAAGCCCACUGAUUCACUGAGUCAUUGUUUUCAGCACUUCCGAAAUCACACCGACUUUUAUGCCUCGGCGCAUAGGUCGUCGUGAUUAUUGGAAACAUGUUAAUGACAUAAAAGUGUGUUCUUGUAAGGCCGGCAGAUACGGUAUGUUUCCCGUGAGGUGCGGAUGGUUGGGGUGGGGUUGGGUGGGUGGUGUUGGGUGAGAACAAACCUUUCCUCUUGUUGGGAGGGUGAAGGGCGUUAUGGUUUAGGAAAUGUCAUUACUAAUUUUCGAAACGAGAUUGCAGACGAUUAUUUAAUUUCCUUGCUUCUCUACUAAGAAUGUAUUGAAUCACGUGACGUCAGUGUAUGUAACCGAUCUGCGUGGGGUCGGUGAGAGAUCUUCAACAGAUCUGUUCCGCAGGUAGCAGGUCUGUCACGUCUGUAGUAGAUCUACAACAUAUCUGGAUUGUGUCUAUAACAGAUAUGCAUCGGAUGUGUAUUGUGUCUGCAACAGAUCUGCAUUAUGUCUAUCACAGGUCUGCAAGAGAUCUGUAACAGGUCUGCAAGAGAUCUGUAACAGAUCUGUAACAGGUCUGUAACAGAUCUGUAACAGGUCUGUAACAGAUCUGCAAGAGAUCUGUAACAGGUCUGUAGCAGGUCUGCAUACGGACUGUAACAGAACUGUGACGGACGUGUAACAGAACGGUUCUGCUAGUGUGUAAUUUUCAUUGUAAUGCGACAGGUGUGCGUGCGAUGUAAUGGUACGGGAACACAUACAGGUAUUACGAGUUCCGUAAGCAGCGUCUGCAGCAGAACUUCGUACGUGUAACGCGUGUGCCCCCUCCGUGUACACAGGUGUAAGAGGUGUAGCGGGUAUAUAUACGGCAUAAGCGGUAAACGCGUGGCGGGCCGCGUGUGCGUGUCGAGUCACAUCUAUAGUCGAGUCCUCGUCGUGCCGGAAAUGUCGUCUUCACGGUGUCAACGAGAGUAGUUGACGUGCAACAUGUCACGUCGCGUGUCACGUCGCACGUCAUGACAUGUUUCGUGCACUCGUGCCCUCGCCCGACACGAUUGCGUGAUGGAUCUUUUAUUUGAUUCUGAUGCGUAGCGAAUAAGUGGCGACUGUGUCUGAAAGCCGCGUGACGUGUUGACGGGAUGACGGGAUCAGGCGCGGUAAUAUGUCCUAGGAGUGAGAAAAGUUGCCGCGGUCCAAUUUCACGAGCGGAAGGUGUCUGUACGAUGUAUUAAUGUACAAUAAAGUUGGUUUGAAAAGGAG
This 2160-nucleotide long non-coding RNA is filed under the name Priapulus caudatus. RNAcentral's name for it is "uncharacterized LOC106818388". The record is from RNAcentral. Lineage: Eukaryota; Metazoa; Priapulida; Priapulimorpha; Priapulimorphida; Priapulidae.